This 468-nucleotide ribosomal RNA is filed under the name uncultured bacterium. RNAcentral's name for it is "partial 16S ribosomal RNA". It matches the Rfam family "Bacterial small subunit ribosomal RNA", at positions 28 to 507 of the family's 1533-position model. The record is from RNAcentral.
GACGAACGCUGGCGGCGUGCUUAACACAUGCAAGUCGAACGGAAAGGCCCUGCUUUUGUGGGGUGCUCGAGUGGCGAACGGGUGAGUAACCCGUGAGUAACCUGCCCUUGACUUUGGGAUAACUUCAGGAAACUGGGGCUAAUACCGGAUAGGAGCUCCUGCUGCAUGGUGGGGGUUGGAAAGUUUCGGCGGUUGGGGAUGGACUCGCGGCUUAUCAGCUUGUUGGUGGGGUAGUGGCUUACCAAGGCUUUGACGGGUAGCCGGCCUGAGCGGGUGACCGGCCACAUUGGGGCUGAGAGACGGACCAGACUCCUACGGGAGGCAGCAGUGGGGAAUAUUGCACAAUGGGCGGAAGCCUGAUGCAGCAACGCCGCGUGCGGGAUGACGGCCUUCGGGUUGUAAACCGCUUUCGCCUGUGACGAAGCGUGAGUGACGGUAAUGGGUAAAGAAGCACCGGCUAACUACGUG